UGGGAAGGUCAAAGUGAGACCGGUGGCAUAGCCGGUCGCAGGAGGAGUCUGGAAAAACGCCGAUUCUACCUCUGUUUGGCUGGUUCCUCUCUGGAUAUCUAAAGCAGAUCAGGGCUUCCCUGGUGGCGCAGUGGUUAAAAAUCCACCUGCCAAUGCAGGGGACACGGGUUCAAGCUCUGGGCCAGGAAGAUCCCACAUGCUGCAGAGCAACUAAGCCCAUGCACCACAACUACUGAGCCUGCACUCUAGAGCCUGUGAGCCACAACUACUGAAGCCUAGAGACCCAUGCUCCGCAGCAAGAGAAGCCACCGCAAUGAGAAGCCCACCCACAGCAACGAAGAGUAGCCCCUGCUUGCCACAAUUAGAGAAAGCCCACAACGAAGACCCAAGGCAGGCAAAAAUAAAUAAAUUUGAAAUAAAUAAAUAAAGCGGAUCAACCAUCUAGCUGACAAAGUGCAGGAUGGGGGCCCGGGUUCAAUCCCUGGUCCAGGAACUAGAUCCCACAUGCAUGCCACAGCUAAGAGUCCACAUGCCACAGCUAAGAAGUCCAAGACCGCAUGC
Molecule: long non-coding RNA, 561 nt
Organism: Physeter macrocephalus (sperm whale)
Lineage: Eukaryota; Metazoa; Chordata; Mammalia; Artiodactyla; Physeteridae
Exons: 3
Source: RefSeq, a predicted model, not a curated record